RNAcentral lists this ribosomal RNA (349 nucleotides) under uncultured soil bacterium. RNAcentral describes it as "bacterial SSU rRNA". It matches the Rfam family "Bacterial small subunit ribosomal RNA", at positions 26 to 404 of the family's 1533-position model. The record is from RNAcentral.
AGAACGAACGCUGGCGGCAUGCCUAAUACAUGCAAGUCGAACGAACUCUUCGGAGUUAGUGGCGCACGGGUGCGUAACGCGUGGGAAUCUGCCCUUGGGUUCGGAAUAACAGUUGGAAACGACUGCUAAUACCGGAUGAUGACGAAAGUCCAAAGAUUUAUCGCCCAGGGAUGAGCCCGCGUAGGAUUAGCUAGUUGGUGAGGUAAAGGCUCACCAAGGCGACGAUCCUUGGCUGGUCUGAGAGGAUGAUCAGCCACACUGGGACUGAGACACGGCCCAGACUCCUACGGGAGGCAGCAGUAGGGAAUAUUGACAAUGGGCGAAAGCCUGAUCCAGCAAUGCCGCGUGA